AGCUUUGCACAGUGGCAGUAUCAUAGCCAAUGAGGUUUAUCCAAGGAGCGAUCAUUGCUAAUUGCAGAUGACAUGCUUUAUAUAUAAAAUCCCACAGACUCCACUAGAAAUCUAUUAGUAGA
Small nuclear RNA from Vulpes vulpes (red fox), 122 nucleotides. Its record names the gene U4. It matches the Rfam family "U4 spliceosomal RNA". From Rfam's summary of the family: U4 small nuclear RNA (U4 snRNA) is a component of the major U2-dependent spliceosome. NCBI's taxonomy places the organism in Eukaryota, Metazoa, Chordata, Mammalia, Carnivora, Canidae. The record is from Ensembl.